Molecule: transfer RNA, 72 nt
Filed under: Camelus bactrianus (Bactrian camel)
Lineage: Eukaryota; Metazoa; Chordata; Mammalia; Artiodactyla; Camelidae
Also listed under: 3 other names
Rfam family: tRNA
About the family: Transfer RNA (tRNA) molecules are approximately 80 nucleotides in length. Their secondary structure includes four short double-helical elements and three loops (D, anti-codon, and T loops). Further hydrogen bonds mediate the characteristic L-shaped molecular structure. tRNAs have two regions of fundamental functional importance: the anti-codon, which is responsible for specific mRNA codon recognition, and the 3' end, to which the tRNAs corresponding amino acid is attached (by aminoacyl-tRNA synthetases). tRNAs cope with the degeneracy of the genetic code in two manners: having more than one tRNA (with a specific anti-codon) for a particular amino acid; and 'wobble' base-pairing, i.e. permitting non-standard base-pairing at the 3rd anti-codon position.
Source: Rfam by way of RNAcentral
GAGGGUAUAGCUCAGUGGUAGAGUGUGUGACUAGCAUGCACGAGGUCCUGGGUUCAACUCCCAGUACCUCCU